AUUGAACGCUGGCGGCAGGCCUAACACAUGCAAGUCGAGCGAGCGGCGGACGGGUGAGUACUGUCUGGGAAACUGCCUGAUGGAGGGGGAUAACUCCUGGAAACGGUAGCUCAUACCGCAUACCAUCGGAUGUGCCCAGAUGGGAUUAGCUAGUAGGUGGGGUAAAGGCUCACCUAGGCGACGAUCCCUAGCUGGUCUGAGAGGAUGGCCCGCAACACUGGAACAGAGACACGGUCCAGACUCCUACGGGAGGCAGCAGUGGGGAAUAUUGCACAAUGGGCGCAAGCCUGAUGCAGCCAUGCCGCGUGUAUGAAGAAGGCCUUCGGGUUGUAAAGUACUUUCAGCGGGGAGGCGUUACCCGCAGAAGAAGCACCGGCUAACUCCGUGCCAGCAGCCGCGGUAAUUC
Molecule: ribosomal RNA, 406 nt
Filed under: uncultured bacterium
Lineage: Bacteria
Description: partial 16S ribosomal RNA
Rfam family: Bacterial small subunit ribosomal RNA
Source: RNAcentral